RNAcentral lists this ribosomal RNA (472 nucleotides) under uncultured bacterium. Its description in RNAcentral is "bacterial SSU rRNA". It matches the Rfam family "Bacterial small subunit ribosomal RNA", at positions 355 to 825 of the family's 1533-position model. The record is from RNAcentral.
UGGGGAAUAUUGGACAAUGGGCGAAAGCCUGAUCCAGCCAUGCCGCGUGUGUGAAGAAGGUCUUCGGAUUGUAAAGCACUUUAAGUUGGGAGGAAGGGCAGUUACCUAAUACGUGAUUGUUUUGACGUUACCGACAGAAUAAGCACCGGCUAACUCUGUGCCAGCAGCCGCGGUAAUACAGAGGGUGCAAGCGUUAAUCGGAAUUACUGGGCGUAAAGCGCGCGUAGGUGGUUAGUUAAGUUGGAUGUGAAAUCCCCGGGCUCAACCUGGGAACUGCAUUCAAAACUGACUGACUAGAGUAUGGUAGAGGGUGGUGGAAUUUCCUGUGUAGCGGUGAAAUGCGUAGAUAUAGGAAGGAACACCAGUGGCGAAGGCGACCACCUGGACUGAUACUGACACUGAGGUGCGAAAGCGUGGGUAGCGAUACGGAUUAGAUACCCAUGUAGUCCCUGAGCGGGCUGGCAAGGCGCAU